ACGUAGGGGGCGAGCGUUAUCCGGAUUCAUUGGGCGUAAAGCGCGCGUAGGCGGCCGGGCAGGCGGGGCGUCAAAUGGCGGGGCUCAACCCCGUCCCGCGCCCCGAACCGCCCGGCUCGGGUCCGGCAGGGGAGGGUGGAACGCCCGGUGUAGCGGUGGAAUGCGCAGAUAUCGGGCGGAACACCGGUGGCGAAGGCGGCCCUCUGGGCCGGCACCGACGCUGAGGCGCGAAAGCUGGGGGAGCGAACAG
RNAcentral lists this ribosomal RNA (250 nucleotides) under uncultured bacterium. RNAcentral's name for it is "partial 16S ribosomal RNA". It matches the Rfam family "Bacterial small subunit ribosomal RNA", at positions 525 to 775 of the family's 1533-position model. The record is from RNAcentral.